Molecule: ribosomal RNA, 441 nt
Filed under: uncultured bacterium
Lineage: Bacteria
Description: partial 16S ribosomal RNA
Rfam family: Bacterial small subunit ribosomal RNA
Source: RNAcentral
CUACGGGUCGCUCCAGUGGGGAAUAUGAGACAAUGGACCAAAAGUCUGAUCCAGCAAUUCUGUGUGCACGAUGAAGGUUUUCGGAUCGUAAAGUGCUUUCAACAGGGAAGAAGUUCUGACGGUACCUGUAGAAGAAGUGACGGCUAAAUACGUGCCAGCAGCCGCGGUAAUACGUAUGUCACAAGCGUUAUCCGGAUUUAUUGGGCAUAAAGGGCAUCUAGGCGGCUUAGUAAGUCUGAUGUGAAAAUGCGGGGCUCAACUCCGUAUUGCGUUGGAAACUACUUGGCUAGAGUAUUGGAGAGGUAGGCGGAACUACAUGUGUAGUGGUGAAAUUCGUAGAUAUAUGUAGGAAUUCCGAUGAUGCAUGUCGCCUACUGGACAAAUAUUUACGAUGAAGUGCGAAAGCGCGGGUAGAAACGAGGAUUAGAUACCCGCGUAGUC